GCCGGGCAUGGUGGUGCGUGCCUGUAAUCCCAGCUACUCAUGAGGCUGAGGCAGGAGAAUCACUUGAACCCAGGAGGUGGAGGUUGCGGUGAGCUGAGAUCACACCACUGCACUCCAGCCUGGGUGACAGAGUGAGACUCUGUCUCAA
RNAcentral lists this non-coding RNA (148 nucleotides) under Homo sapiens (human). Lineage: Eukaryota; Metazoa; Chordata; Mammalia; Primates; Hominidae. The record is from Rfam by way of RNAcentral.